CAGUAGCCGCGGGAAUACGGGGGGGGCAAGUGUUAUUCGGAAUGACUGGGCGUAAAGGGCACGUAGGCGGUGAAAAGGGUGGAAAGUGAAAGUCGCCAAAACACUGGCGGGGUGCUUUCUUGACCAUUUCACUUGAGUGAGAUAGGGGAGAGUGGAAUUUCGUGUGGAGGGAUCAAAUCCUAAGAUAUACGAAGGAACGCCAACCGCGAAGGCAGCUCUCUGGGUCCCCACUGACGCUGGGGUGCGAAAGCAUGGGGAGCAAACAGGAUCAGAUACCCGCUUAGUCCCUGUCUCUUAUACC
RNAcentral lists this ribosomal RNA (301 nucleotides) under uncultured bacterium. RNAcentral's name for it is "partial 16S ribosomal RNA". It matches the Rfam family "Bacterial small subunit ribosomal RNA", at positions 509 to 808 of the family's 1533-position model. The record is from RNAcentral.